Tulasnella sp. 403 is the source of this 95-nucleotide non-coding RNA. NCBI's taxonomy places the organism in Eukaryota, Fungi, Basidiomycota, Agaricomycetes, Cantharellales, Tulasnellaceae. The record is from the annotation of a GenBank genome assembly.
GCCGGCGUAGCUCAGUUGGGAGAGCGACAGACUGAAGCGCGGGGUAGCCCGUGGCUGCAAUCUGCAGGUCACUAGUUCGAUCCUGGUCGACGGCA